GGUGCGGAUUCCUAUGGGGAAGGCCCAUAUUGUUGACAUCUUCCAGGCCUUGGUUCUGGACCUUGAGGAGGCUGAACUAGUGAUAGCGAUGCUUUUUAGGGUCACUGUAUGUAGGUAUUGGGGGAAGGGGAGGGAUCAACCGAGAAGGCAUGGAAGUGGUUUAAAGCUAAUAUUUCAGUUUUUGCUGCUCAUAUAGAGUCCAACCUAGGAGUUACUCAUUUACAGGCUGUAAAGCUUCUCCAGACUAAAAAUGUCUGAAAACCAAGCAUGGAUUAACUCUCCAUACGAACAGUAAAUUGAAAAUUCAGCUUGUGAGUAAAAUUUAAAAAUUUUACUCCCAAAGCAUUUUUUUAGGUACCCACAUUUUUUAAAAAUUGUGUUACUUUUACUUAGAGUUGAAAGGCCUCAACUAGUAUUUGCUGUUAAUGACCAGUAUGUGGAGUCUGAUUUAGCUUUCCAGAAUUGACAUUUUGGGUUGUAUUGCCAAAUCACAGUUCUAAACGAUGAAUGUUGAAUGAUGCACUAUGUUUUUGUUUAAAUGAAAUUUACUGAGAAUAAUUAACCUCAGAAUUAAGGGAAAUUGAUGUUGCUAUCAUGAGGCAGCAUAAAAAAUACAUAUUUUAAAAACUGAAGACAUUUCAAGCAGGUAUAGUUCUUGAAGCAGAAAGAACAUGAACCUGGGAUUUGGAAGACCAGGUUUCUAGCUGCUACUGAUCAACUCUAUUACUCCGGGAAAGUAGGCCUCAGUUCUUUUUUCUAUAACAUGAGUAAAUUGGACUGUUUGAAUUCAGAACUCAGAAAGUUGGAAGGGAUCUUAAAGCCCUCUGUGAAAGAGUUUGGGAAUGUUCUCCAUUGCUGUCAUUUUUCCUCCAAAAAUAACCUGGUUUGGAAGUCAUUGGUCCAACGGGAAUUUGACUCCCCAUAGAAAUUGGAGAAAAGGUAAUGCAAGUAGAGAGGAACAGCUGUAUAUCUGUUUGAGGAGUAAACCCACUAACAGAUUCUGGUACGAAUUUCAGAGACAUAAAAAUAAUGAGUGUAUGUACCUUAAGUGUACCAGUUUCCUCACUCUCUCCUGGCAGAAGAUGUAGCACUUUUAGUGGUGCUGGGAUUCUGGGAUGUGUUCCUAUUACGUCUAAUACAGAUGAAGAAGAUGUGGUAGAGGGAAAGAUGGUGGCAGAAGGACUGGAUAAAGAGGCAAAAUUGCCCGCGAAAAAGAAAAGAAAGAAGGGUUUGCGAAUUAAGGGGAAAAGGCGACGAAAGAAACUGAUCCUUGCGAAAAAGUUUAGUAAGGAUUUGGUAUCCGGGAGGCCAGUUGCAGAUGCCCCUGCUUUGUUAGCUUCCAAUGCCCCUGAGCAGGAUGAAGAAAGUCUUUUUGAGAGCAAUAUAGAAAAACAGAUCUAUUUACCUAGUACUAGAGCCAAGACCUCCAUUGUGUGGCACUUCUUUCAUGUUGACCCCCAGUACACCUGGCGGGCUAUUUGUAACCUCUGUGAAAAAAGUGUUAGCAGGGGUAAACCAGGUAGCCAUCUCGGGACAUCUACUCUUCAGCGACAUCUGCAGGCAAGGCAUUCACCUCACUGGACCAGGGCCAACAAAUUUGGAGUUACUAGUGGGGAGGAGGAUUUUACUUUGGAUGUACCUUUAUCUCCCUCUUCCGCUGGAAGCAGUGGAAGCUUUGAAUAUAUCCCUACUGAUCCAUUGGAUAAUAAUGGAAUGGGAAAGAAACGUGAUAAAUCAGUAUCUGAUGCCCUAAGGGCAGAAAGAGGGAGAUUUCUCAUCAAAAGUAACAUUGUCAAGCAUGCCUUAAUUCCUGGAACAAGAGCCAAGACAUCUGCAGUUUGGAAUUUUUUCUAUACCGAUCCUCAGCACAUCUCAAGAGCUGUCUGUAAUAUAUGUAAAAGAAGUGUGAGCCGAGGUAGGCCGGGUUCUCACUUAGGAACUUCGACACUUCAACGACACCUGCAGGCCACACAUCCCAUCCAUUGGGCAGUUGCCAACAAAGACAGUGGUGCAGUUGGAAAUGGAUUAGAUGAAGCUGAGACUGAGAGAAAUGAUCUCUUGAGUGAUACUUUGCCUGGAGAGAAGUCUACAGGCAGCCAGGAUGUAACAGCUGAGGACCUUAGUGACUCUGAUUCAGAUGAACCUCCUGUAUUAGAGGUUGAAAAUAGAAGAUCUGAGAGUCCUAUUCCUGUUGCAGAGCAAGACACUCUAAUGCAUGCACAGGAACAAGAAACAACAUAUUGUGAAAAUUCAACCUCAAGUCAAAUAAGUCAGGCAAUUAUUCAAAUGAUUGUGGAAGAUAUGCAUCCUUACAACUAUUUCUCAACUCCAGCCUUUCAGAGGUUCAUGCAGAUUGUGGCCCCUGACUAUAGGUUACCAUCUGAAACUUACUUUUUCACUAAGGCUGUGCCUCAAUUAUAUGAUUGGGUCAGAGAAAAAAUUUUCUUAACUUUGGAGAAUGUUCAAAGCCAAAAGAUCCACCUGACUGUGGACAUAUGGAGCCAUGACCCAUCCACUGACUAUUUCAUUGUGACUGUACACUGGGUCUCUUUGCAGACUACAACUUCUUCCAGUAAUGGCAGGAUCCCCAAUUUUAGAAAGUGGGCAGUUCUCUGUGUAACAGGUUUGGCCAAAGACUGUUUGAUAACCAACAUUUUACAAGAAUUAAAUGACCAGAUUGGUCUGUGGCUUUCUCCUAAUUUCCUCAUCCCUAGCUUCAUCGUUUCUGACAAUUCUUCUAAUGUAGUACAUGCAAUCAAAGAUGGUGGUUUUACCCAAGUGCCAUGCUUCCUGCAUUGUUUAAAUACAGUCAUUCAAGACUUUUUCUGUGAGCACAAAAGCAUUGAGAACAUGUUAGUGGCUGCUAGGAAAACUUGUCAUCAUUUUAGUCAUUCAGUCAAGGCCCGUCAGAUACUACAAGAGUUCCAAAAUGAUCACCAACUUCCAUGGAAAAAUUUGAAGCAGGAUGAAGCUGGCCAUUGGAUUUCUACCUUUUAUAUGUUAAAAUGGCUCUUGGAGCAUUGUUACUCAGUUCACCAUAGUCUUGGUAGAGCCAGUGGAGUUGUGCUCACCUCCCUUCAGUGGACUCUAAUGACGUAUGUUUGUGAUAUUCUUAAACCAUUUGAGGAGGCCACCCAGAAAGUGAGUGUGAAGACUACAGGAUUGAAUGAGGUGCUACCCCUAAUCCAUCAUCUACUCCUUUCCCUGCAGAAGCUCAGAGAAGAUUUUCAAGUUAGAGGUAUUACUCAGGCCCUCAAUCUGGUAGACAGUUUAUCUCUGAAACUUGAAACUGAUACCCUAUUAAGUGCCAUGCUCAAAUCCAAGCCCUGUAUCUUGGCUGCUUUGUUAGACCCUUGCUUUAAAAAGAGUUUGGAAGACUUUUUCCCUCAAGGUGCUGAUUUGGAAACUUACAAGCAGAUCCUUGCAGAAGAAGUUUGUAACUAUAUGGAAUCUUCAUCAGAGGUCUGCCGUAUUGCAACUUCAGAAGCUUCUGGUUCCUCAGCCAUAGUAGGAGCUGAUUCAUUUACCUCAUCUAUAAGAGAAGGCACCUCCAGUUCAGGGUCUGUUGAUAGUUCAGUUGCAGAUAAUGUUGCCAUUGGAGGCAAAAGCUUCAUGUUUCCUUCUGCUAUGGCAGUAGUGGAUGAAUACUUCAAUGAGAAGUAUUCAGAGACCUCAGGAGGUGAUGACCCUUUGAUUUACUGGCAGAAGAAGGUGAGCGUAUGGCCAGCUUUGACCCAAGUUGCCAUUCAGUAUCUGAGCUGCCCCAUGUGUAGUUGGCAAUCUGAAUGUAUCUUUACUGCAAAUAGCCACUUUCAUCCAAAGCAGAUCAUGAGCCUGGACUUUGACAAUAUAGAACAGCUGAUGUUUCUGAAAAUGAACUUGAAAAAUGUUAACUAUGAUUAUUCUUCAUUGGUUCUGAGCUGGGGUCCUGAGAAUGAAGUUAUUCAAAGCAGUGAAAAAGAAAUAUUAUCUUAAUUUCUUUUUCUUUUCUCCAUUUAAAAUGGGCAACUUAUUGCUAUGUUACUGUGUCCUAAUUGCUAUAAUUGUUACAUACAGUUAUACUGAUUAUUCUUUAUGCACAAUCUGGGGAAACCUGAAAACACAGAAAGGGCUGAAAAUUCCUCAGAGGUAAUAUAAUGUUGACAAAAUGAAGAUUAGCUUUAAAGAUUUCAUAGUAGUAACUCAGUGUAGCUGUCACUUGAAAUUUUGUUUAUACCAAUUGAGAGAAAAAUGACUUUUUUAGUUAAAAAAAUAUAGUGCAGCAUUGAAAGGCCUUAGGCUAUUUCUGGCUGGCAGAUUGAGCUAGUAAUUGGUUUUAAGUAAAAAUUUCUCUCAACCUGGGAAGUUUGAUUGCUCUGAAACCAAUGAAAUAGAGAAAAAGCAUACUAAACUGGCAUCUCUCCCCAUCACCACCAUUUUUCUAUUUCUUUAAAAACCGUGAUUCAUACUUACAGCUUGGCAAAAACAAAGUUCACAAAAUUGUUUUAUAUUUGGGAAUUUCUAAUUGCCUCCUCAUACUGGUCAGCAUUAUAAUUUCAACUUACUAAGUGUGAUAGAGUUGCCCUUUAUAGUUAAGAUUGGGUCUUCAUAGAAAGGAAACAUUAGAAAACAAUUAGGAAGAAAUUACUUUUAGUCUUUGAAUUGCCCUUUUUAACUUUUAUUGUAAAAACAAAGAUUAGCUACUUUUAUAUAAUUUAUGGGUAAAUGACAAUAAAAAGUUUACAGAAUUGAAAAAGAUUGAAUGGAAAUUGGAAUGAAAGCCCCAUGAGUAUACUGUGACAAACCAGUAUCCCUUUCCCACAGAAUGUUUCUCUGAAUUUAAGUGAUCUUAAAUGUCUUUUAAAAAUUAUACUGAAUGAUCCAUAAUAGUGUAUUCUUAACUUUGAGAUUAUUUUGGCCUUAAUUCUUAUUUAAAAAUAAGCAGUCAAUAUUUUCAUGUGUUAGGAAUCAUUGCCUCACUGGUAAAAUGAGAGAAUUGAUCUCAAUUGAUCUUGUCCCUUUCCACUCUGGAAGUAUGUUUUUGUGAUUGAGUGGGAGGCCAUAAGUGAUGACUUUUAGUAAAAGUCUAUUAAAAGUUUCAGACUGAAUAACUAAUGUAAGAUCCCAAUUUUUCCUUUUUUUCAUUUUAGAUUUGGGGAUAUUCCCUGCCCAAAAAUUUCCUGGAAAAUUGACUAGUAUUAAGUGUGAAGAAAUCUUGAAGACCAGAAAUUGGAUCUUAUUGAAUUUUGGUGUUCUUUUUCUUUUUUCUUUUUCUUUUUUCUUUUUAAAUUAAUUGUUCGGCUAUGGAAGAUGGAUUUUUUUUUUUUUUUAAUCUUUGAAUCUCAAGUUCAUCUUUAUAUGAACUCUUUUUUGUUGUUUUUUUGUUGAGGAGAUAACUAACCCUAGCUGUCUCCAGUUUGACAAAGGUUAUUUGAAUGGACUUAAAUCUCUCAGUAGUUGGGAGAUGUUUUAAAAACACACCCUGUGUUUGAAUUGUGGCUGAGAGGUUUCCUUGGCAAUGUGAGGAGGAAAAUUCUUUCUGCCUCAUUAUUAUUAAUUCAUGGAUUGAGUGUUGGUUCGACCUACAGGCGUAAUAGAUUGGAACUCAGUGAAGACACAGACAUUGCUGCUGAGAGCAACCAGCUAAUGAUUACAUUUAAAAGACAAUUUCUAUGAUUGAGUUGUCUUUUGGAAGAUUAAGCCCAUUUCAAGAGGACGUGGAGCUGGUCCUCGCCUUGAGGAAGCAGUGGCUUGUUUUCAAGAAGCCACUUCUCAUCUGAGGAUCUACUCAGCAUGCC
Molecule: RNA transcript, 5777 nt
Organism: Balaenoptera acutorostrata (minke whale)
Lineage: Eukaryota; Metazoa; Chordata; Mammalia; Artiodactyla; Balaenopteridae
Gene: ZC3H11A
Gene name: zinc finger CCCH-type containing 11A
Exons: 3
Source: RefSeq, a predicted model, not a curated record